This 387-nucleotide long non-coding RNA is filed under the name Gossypium barbadense (sea-island cotton). RNAcentral describes it as "long non-coding RNA (GBAR_LNC017844)". The record is from RNAcentral. Lineage: Eukaryota; Viridiplantae; Streptophyta; Magnoliopsida; Malvales; Malvaceae.
UUACUUGUUAUUGUAUAUAAUUGAUUUUUUAUAUAUUUAUUUUUGUUAUUUUUGCUCGUAUUAUUUUUACUCGCAUUAUCGUAAUUGUUAUUCCGUCACAUCAAUUUUUACCCAAAUUCGUAAAAAAGGAAAAUUUUGGAAAUAAAGGCAAUACUCGAUACUUGGGAUCUUCGAGAGAAUUGGGCCCUAACGUGCUGGGUUCUAAUUUUCUGUUGAAUCUAAAUACUCGAGAAUGCUCUUUAAUAAAAAACAUAAAUAAAAACUCAUUAUCGGGAUUUCAAUAUGUUGUGUCCUAACGCAUUGGAUAUGACACGUAGUUUUCUCGAUAUGAGGAUUUUUCGAAAGUAAAGGCAAUAUUCCGUAUUUAGAAAAUUCGAGAAAUCGUGC